UCGGAUAUGGUGUAAAGGCUAACAUUGCCGCCUCUCAUGCAAAGGUUUAGCUGUUCUUUCUGCGCCGCAGCUCGGGGUUCGAUUCCCCGUAUCCGAA
Hymenopellis radicata is the source of this 97-nucleotide non-coding RNA. Lineage: Eukaryota; Fungi; Basidiomycota; Agaricomycetes; Agaricales; Physalacriaceae. The record is from the annotation of a GenBank genome assembly.